RNAcentral lists this long non-coding RNA (458 nucleotides) under Anser brachyrhynchus (Pink-footed goose). Its description in RNAcentral is "lncRNA (ENSABRG00000013118.1)". Lineage: Eukaryota; Metazoa; Chordata; Aves; Anseriformes; Anatidae. The record is from RNAcentral.
CCUGCAUCCUGUAAAUAGAGGACAAAAUUCUAGCAGAGUGGAGCCUCCUUGGGAUCUACCCUUUCAGUUGCAAGUUCAUGGACAAACACAAGAAGGCAUCAGGCUGCAGUGCAAAAUAUCUAACAAGGUGAACAAAUACUUGGAUUCUGCAUUUGCUGCUGAAGCAGGGGCUGUUCAGAUAGAAGUUACUGCCUCUUCAGUGAGUGAAUGCUGAAACUCAGCUACAAGGCAGUAAAUGACUGAGCAUCUCCUUCUAGGCUACUGCAAAAUGGGGCAGAUCAGGUUCUCUUCAACCACCAUGGGAACAGUAAACUCAACUGGCUGACAGUGAUGUCUCAAGUCCCUCUAACAUGACAAGAAGCAUUUGUCACAUCAUAUACAGUAUAAGUUGCUUUAUCUUUUACAGUAUGUGAACUCUAGAUUGAAUACAGAUGGGAUGCACAGACACAGCAGACCUA